RNAcentral lists this unclassified non-coding RNA (2067 nucleotides) under Hevea brasiliensis (rubber tree). The record is from RNAcentral. Lineage: Eukaryota; Viridiplantae; Streptophyta; Magnoliopsida; Malpighiales; Euphorbiaceae.
GCCCAGAAUUGAUAGUGAGGGGGCAAUGUGUGGAGCCAACUUCAAGGUUGAUAAAGAAUCCAGGAUAAGUAACAUGACUCGUGUUGGCAGUGAAGCCAAUUGGGCUUUAAGUGGUCCGAAAGCCUAAGAUCAUCCCAGUGUACAAUAAAAAUCCAACUAUUAUUCUGUGUAUUCUCUCCUUUUCAAGCGCCUUGUUAUAUUUUCCUUCUUAGGCUUUGAUAAUUCGUCUUUUUCUUAGUGCUUCAUUCAAUAAACAAGAGAAUCUUCUCCCUCCCUUACACGUUCCUUUUUAGAUAUACAACCAAUGCAAUGAAUGCCUUGUUGAGAUAUCGAUAUCACGAUAGAAUUCCUACUCCUUGAAUAAAAUGAAAAGUUGGCGUACAAGUACAGAAUUAUAUCUAUCAAAAUCAGCCUAUAUCCAUUUCAAUUCGCUUGAAUCAGAAAUCUAAUAAGAGUUACAGGAGUCUGAGGGAAAAAAAAAAAAAGAUUCAGUAUUUCCACCAAUUAAAAAGGACCAGGGCAGAAGUCCAACUAACCAAGAUGACACUUCCGCACAUCAACACCUUUCUGUGGAUGGACGGAGAAGUCCUCCGAGGGCCAAACUGUUCAGUACUAACCAAAAAAUCAAUCCAAGUCCACAAAAAUCUGCAUCAUUUGAAGUUACAUGAGAACAGGAACGCUGAAAAUGCAAAGAUUAUAUUAUGCACCAAGGCUGGACUCUCUCCACCUAAAUUUGAAAUGGAUUCUCUAGUCAUACAAGGUCACCAUUUACUAGUUCGGAAUUUAGAAACCCAUUAAUUUGCAUGCUACUGUUCCUUAAUUUAGAAAGAUUCAACUUCCCAAGCAAUCAGCUGAGUUGAAGCUUCAUAAAUUCCAAAUGUGGAAAGCCAGAAAAAACAAAAUUAAAGAGCAUCACCAUAUGGCAAUAAAAAAUGCUAGUGAUUUCCAAACCACUGCAGACUAUUGUAGAGAAUUAACCUCUAAAUCAGUCAAUGAGAUCAUGGGUUUUCUUCCCUGAUUUGUCAAACACUGUAAAACCUGUUAUUUUCUGUCCUCCAUGUAUCGUAGCAAUCAAGUUCUGCAAAAAUAAAAGCAGCACUGCACUAAGAAAUCAUAUUUUAUCUCCACCCUCAACAAGCCUAAACAAUGAUGAAGGUCGCAUGUUAGACCAGCUCCAGCAUGAGAAACAUUGUAUGAAUUACUAUGAUUGUAAUAAUUUUCUACCAUCUAAUAACCAAUUUUUAGAAAAUGUCUUAAUCCAAAACCUUAAUGACAACUGAACACAAAUACAUUCACUACUAACUAGAUUGAACUUACGUAUGGGCUCCAAGUUCCUCCACAUCAUGUUCCACAAUGAAAUGAUAACGCUCUCCAGCUCGUAUAGACUCAACAGGGGUUUUUGAUGUGUCCAAUGGAAGGAUCCUCUGCCUUUCUGUUUGAAUUUCUUAAACAUAACAUCCCUAACUUCAAAAAUUAGAACUGUUAUUGAUGCUUAUAUUGCUGGCUGCAAAAGGUCCCCCCCAAAUAUAUAGCCCUGAAAAAGAAAAAUCAUUCAAAUUAAACAAAAAAAAUAAUAAUAAUAAGGGAGAGAACAUGAUAUGAUGCAAUAUCCAAGGACUUGAGGUAGGACGAGGAGACCAGUGAGGCCAAAUGAAUCGGAAGGGUGUUGGAGGAGGAAUGUGGUAGAGCGGAUGAAUCGGUGAGCUUGGUGGCAUGGGCGUCGAUGAGAGGAGGAAGCCGUGAAGCGGCAAUUGGAUCGUUGAAGAUGUCCUCACCGAUGAUAAGAUCGGAGGGGUCUAAACGGACCGGAGCGUCCACGUGAAAUGAAGGCCUGCAUAACCUCAUCACCCGAAAGGCGAGUGAGGGCGUUUGCGUGCCCCGCGUUAUGCUCAUGAUUAUUCCUCUCUCUCACUCACAAUGAAUCUUUUGAUACUGAAAUGACUGAUUAGUGAAUUUGGAAAAGAAAUUCGGGGGAGAGGAAAGGAGAGGGACGGUGACAGUAGAUGCAGGAGCUUGGAUGAGGCUGAGGAGAAGUUGGCUGUUUAUCUGUGGAAGACACUUUCUUUU